RNAcentral lists this ribosomal RNA (253 nucleotides) under uncultured bacterium. RNAcentral's name for it is "partial 16S ribosomal RNA". It matches the Rfam family "Bacterial small subunit ribosomal RNA", at positions 524 to 776 of the family's 1533-position model. The record is from RNAcentral.
UACGAAUGGGGCAAGCGUUGUUCGGAAUAACUGGGCUUAAAGCGUGCGCAGGCGGUCUUGAAAGUCAGGAGUGAAAGCCUGGGGCUUAACCCCAGAAUUGCUCUUGAAACUCCAAGACUAGAAUCCGGGAGAGGUUAGCAGAAUUCCGAGUGUAGAGGUGAAAUUCGCAGAUAUUCGGAGGAAUACCAGUGGCGAAGGCGGCUAACUGGACCGGUAUUGACGCUCAGGCACGAAAGCGUGGGGAGCAAACAGG